This 293-nucleotide ribosomal RNA is filed under the name uncultured bacterium. RNAcentral describes it as "partial 16S ribosomal RNA". It matches the Rfam family "Bacterial small subunit ribosomal RNA", at positions 28 to 322 of the family's 1533-position model. The record is from RNAcentral.
GACGAACGCUGGCGGCGUGCUUAACACAUGCAAGUCGAGCGGUAAGGCCCUUUCGGGGGUACACGAGCGGCGAACGGGUGAGUAACACGUGGGUGACCUGCCCUCAGCUCUGGGAUAAGCCCGGGAAACUGGGUCUAAUACCGGAUAUGACUCCAUGACGCAUGUUGUGGGGUGGAAAGCCUUGUGCGGCUGAGGAUGGGCCCGCGGCCUAUCAGCUUGUUGGUGGGGUGAUGGCCUACCAAGGCGACGACGGGUAGCCGGCCUGAGAGGGCGACCGGCCACACUGGGACUGA